UGGGGAAUAUUGCACAAUCGGCGCAAGCCUGAUGCAGCCAUGCCGCGUGUAUGAAGAAGGCCUUCGGGUUGUAAAGUACUUUCAGCGGGGAGGAAGGGAGUAAAGUUAAUACCUUUGCUCAUUGACGUUACCCGCAGAAGAAGCACCGGCUAACUCCGUGCCAGCAGCCGCGGUAAUACGGAGGGUGCAAGCGUUAAUCGGAAUUACUGGGCGUAAAGCGCACGCAGGCGGUAUGUCAAGUCGGAUGUGAAAUCCCCGGGCUCAACCUGGGAACUGCAUUCGAAACUGGCAGGCUAGAGUCUUGUAGAGGGGGGUAGAAUUCCAAGUGUAGCGGUCAAAUGCGUAGAGAUCUGGAGGAAUGCCGGUGGCGGAGGCGGCCCCCUGGACAAAGACUGACGCUCAGGUGCGAAAGCGUGGGGAGCAAACGGG
RNAcentral lists this ribosomal RNA (429 nucleotides) under Chloroflexota bacterium. RNAcentral's name for it is "Chloroflexi bacterium partial 16S ribosomal RNA". It matches the Rfam family "Bacterial small subunit ribosomal RNA", at positions 355 to 776 of the family's 1533-position model. The record is from RNAcentral. Lineage: Bacteria; Bacillati; Chloroflexota.